AAACUGCGAAUGGCUCAUUAAAUCAGUUAUCGUUUAUUUGAUAGUACCUUACUACUUGGAUAACCGUGGUAAUUCUAGAGCUAAUACAUGCGAAAAACCCCGACUUCGGAAGGGGUGUAUUUAUUAGAUAAAAAACCAAUGCCCUUCGGGGCUUCCUGGCGAUUCAUAAUAACUUAACGAAUCGCAUGGCCUUGCGCCGGCGAUGGUUCAUUCAAAUUUCUGCCCUAUCAACUUUCGAUUGUAGAGUAGUGGUCUACAAUGGUUUCAACGGGUAACGGGGAAUUAGGGUUCGACUCCGGAGAGGGAGCCUGAGAAACGGCUACCACAUCCAAGGAAGGCAGCAGGCGCGCAAAUUACCCAAUCCCGACACGGGGAGGUAGUGACAAUAAAUACUGAUACAGGGCUCUUUUGGGUCUUGUAAUUGGAAUGAGUACAAUUUAAAUCCCUUAACGAGGAACAACUGGAGGGCAAGUCUGGUGCCAGCAGCCGCGGUAAUUCCAGCUCCAGAAGCGUAUAUUAAAGUUGUUGCAGUUAAAAAGCUCGUAGUUGAAUUUUGGGCCUGGCUGGCCGGUCCGCCUCACCGCGUGCACUGGUCCGGCCGGGCCUUUCCUCCUGGGGAUCCGCAUGCCCUUCACUGGGUGUGUUGGGGAACCAGGACUUUUACUUUGAAAAAAUUAGAGUGUUCAAAGCAGGCCUUUGCUCGAAUACAUUAGCAUGGAAUAAUAGAAUAGGACGGCUUUCCUAUUUUGUUGGUUUCUAGGGAAGCCGUAAUGAUUAAUAGGGAUAGUCGGGGGCAUCAGUAUUCAAUUGUCAGAGGUGAAAUUCUUGGAUUUAUUGAAGACUAACUACUGCGAAAGCAUUUGCCAAGGAUGUUUUCAUUAAUCAGUGAACGAAAGUUAGGGGAUCGAAGACGAUCAGAUACCGUCGUAGUCUUAACCAUAAACUAUGCCGACUAGGGAUCGGGCGAUGUUACUAUCUUGACUCGCUCGGCACCUUACGAGAAAUCAAAGUUUU
RNAcentral lists this ribosomal RNA (1014 nucleotides) under Venturia populina. Its description in RNAcentral is "SSU rRNA". It matches the Rfam family "Eukaryotic small subunit ribosomal RNA", at positions 84 to 1107 of the family's 1831-position model. The record is from RNAcentral. Lineage: Eukaryota; Fungi; Ascomycota; Dothideomycetes; Venturiales; Venturiaceae.